AUGGGGGAACAAACAGCAAACCUCACUGCCCUGAUGGAGAAGCUCUUGUCCAGAUUCGAUGAAGAGCAAGCUCUGGCGACCAAACGCGCGGAGGCACAGGCCACGUUCAACACGCACGUCUCCACCGAGCUGCAGAGCCUAUCCAAGCAGAUCGGGCUCACGCAGGCCGACGUGGAUGACGUGCGCAAGGCGACUUCUCUGACGGCUUCCUCCGCCAUGGCAUUGGCGUCGCAGGUGGACGACCCCUCCGCGGCAGGUUCCCGCACGCCGGCAGCCACCAACGGCAUCCAGCAGCCUGUGCCCCCUCCAGCUCCACCCGCCCAGCGCACGGCACCUCCUCAGAGUGCCCUGCCUAUUCCGCAAGCUUUUGGGAGCACGGCAGCCAUCACCCGACUCGCCAACGAAGGGCCUCCCCUGCUCACGAGGCCAGAUGCGCAGUUCAACUUGCAGCUGCCCAGCACACCAAUGCCGCGGGAUGAGUACUCAGUCCGGCCACCCAAACACCACUUCCCCCGCUUCGAUGGUGAUGCGCCCCGCGUCUGGCUGGAUUGCUGCCUAGCAUACUUCGAGUUGUAUAGGGUGCCGCCGCACAACUGGGUCGCGACGGCGGCGCUCUAUGUCAAAGGGCACGCAGCACUGUGGCUUAGAGCCUUCCGUCAGACACAUUCAGAUAUUACUUGGGAGAUGUUCCGGCGUGCAGUGGUGGAGGAGUUUGGCCCAGAGGAAUUCGAGUCAACGAUGCACAAUCUUCUUCAGCUUCGUCAGACAGGAACAGUGGUUGAAUACAGACAACAGUUUGAGGUUCACAUGUAUAAUCUGAUUGCCCUCGACUCGACCCUGAGCUCCAAAUUUUUCGUCACCCAAUUCUUGCUUGGCCUGAAGGAUGACAUGCGCGCCGCCGUGCGUAUUCAGGCACCCACCAGCAUCACCAGGGCGACAGUGUUUGCCAGGAUUCAGGAAGAGGAAUUGGAACUUCAGCGUUCCAGAUUCAGACCGCCAUUUGCAGGCAGACCACCACCAUUGUCGGGCAUAGUACCACCACUAGGACGGCCACCUCCUGCACCAUCAGCGCCCUCUCCGACCGCUCCAGCACCGUGGAUCGCCCUAGCACCAAAGCCAGCCGCGGACGACUUCGGGCGUGAGCGGCAGUUGCGGGAUUACAGACGCCAACACGGCCUCUGCUUUCGUUGCGGGGACAAAUACUCCCGUGAUCAUCAAUGCAAACGCUCUGCUCAGCUACUGACGAUUGAAGUGGGCGAUUUUGGAGAAGUACUCUCUGAUGAUGCAGUGCAUGCCCUGGAACUAUUGGAUGAACCUGCAACCAUCGAUGCUACUUGCUGUCUCCUAUCAGCUCAAGCCGUGGAGGGCACCAAAGCACCAGAAACUAUUCGACUGCGUGCCACAGUGGGUGAUCAAACUAUGUUGCUGCUCGUCGACUCCGGCAGUACGCACAGUUUUGUGAACUCCACAUUUGCUCAGCACAUCAAAGCUCCAACAACAGAUAUUCCAGCAAUCAAGGUUCGAGUCGCCAACGGACAGAGCCUGAACUGCACGGCUAUGGUGCCUCAGCUAGCCUGGACCUCCCACAGACAUACCUUUGCCACAGACAUGCGCGUCCUCGAUUUAGGAGGCUACGAUGCAGUGCUCGGUGUGGAUUGGCUGGGACAGCACAGCCUAAUGCAGUGUGACUGGAACCUGAAGACCAUGCAAUUUGAUCGUCAGGGAGAAACAAUUAAGCUGAUAGGUGUGCGCACUGGUGAUCAACAUCAACUCACAGCCCUAGAUGCUGCAACCUUAUGGCAAAUGCAUGACGCUAACGACAUAUGGGGGGCAGCUUUAGUGGAGAUUCAGCUAACAUCUGAGACGACAUCCGACUCUGACACGCCUGCUCCGCCUACCAUUCAGCGCAUCCUGACGGAGUUCAGUGACAUCUUCGAGGAACCAACCCAACUUCCUCCCCAUCGACAGUACAUUCACGCCAUUAAUCUGGAGCCAGGUGCAGCACCUGUCAACUGUCGACCCUACCGGUACUCUCCGUUACAGAAAGACGAGAUUGAACGUCAAGUGGAAGAAAUGCUUCGCACGAGCAUCAUUACACACAACAUGAGCCCCUUCGCAACCCCGGUGCUCCUGGUCAAGAAGAAGGACGGAACAUGGCGUUUCUGUGUGGACUAUCGACGUCUCAAUACCGUCACAAUCAAGAACAAGUUUCCUCUUCCUGUCAUCGACAAACUCUUGGAUGAACUCUCUGGUGCCGCCUUCUUCUCCAAAAUUGACUUGCGAGCGGGGUACCAUCAGAUUCGCAUGCGUGCGGGCGAUGAGGAAAAGACGGCCUUCAAGACACAUCAUGGUCAUUUUGAGUUCCGCGUCAUGCCCUUCGGCGUCACCAACGGCCCGCCCACAUUCCAAUGUGUGAUGAACUCGGCGUUCGCCGGGCCAAAUCGUAAGUUUGUGAUCACUUUUCUUGAUGACAUUCUCGUCUUCAGUCACACCUUGCAGGAGCAUGAAGCUCAUCUACGCACAGUCUUCUCCAUCCUCCGUGAGCAUUAG
This 2550-nucleotide ribosomal RNA is filed under the name Triticum aestivum (bread wheat). RNAcentral describes it as "partial small subunit ribosomal RNA". Lineage: Eukaryota; Viridiplantae; Streptophyta; Magnoliopsida; Poales; Poaceae. The record is from RNAcentral.